GACAGAGGUCCCGAGCGUUAGGCGGAAUCACUGGGCUUAAAGCGUGUGUAGGCGGACUUCUAAGUACCUUGUGAAAUCCCACGGCUUAACCGUGGAACUCCUUGGUAUACUGGUUGUCUUGGGCCAUCUAGGGGCUACCGGAACAAACGGUGGAGCGGUGAAAUGCGUAGAUAUCGUUUGGAACGCCAAUGGUGAAAACAGGUAGCUGGGGAUGUGCCGACGCUGAGACACGAAAGCCAGGGGAGCAAACGGG
RNAcentral lists this ribosomal RNA (253 nucleotides) under uncultured bacterium. RNAcentral describes it as "partial 16S ribosomal RNA". It matches the Rfam family "Bacterial small subunit ribosomal RNA", at positions 524 to 776 of the family's 1533-position model. The record is from RNAcentral.